RNAcentral lists this ribosomal RNA (444 nucleotides) under uncultured bacterium. RNAcentral describes it as "partial 16S ribosomal RNA". It matches the Rfam family "Bacterial small subunit ribosomal RNA", at positions 354 to 796 of the family's 1533-position model. The record is from RNAcentral.
GUAGGGAAUAUUGGGCAAUGGUCGGAAGACUGACCCAGCCAUGCCGCGUGCAGGAAGACGGCCCUCUGGGUUGUAAACUGCUUUUAUCUGGGAAGAAAAAGGCCAUGCGUGGCAAAUUGCCGGUACCAGAUGAAUAAGCACCGGCUAACUCCGUGCCAGCAGCCGCGGUAAUACGGAGGGUGCGAGCGUUGUCCGGAUUUAUUGGGUUUAAAGGGUGCGUAGGCGGCUGAUUAAGUCAGCGGUGAAAGACUUCGGCUUAACCGGAGCAGUGCCGGUGAUACUGGUUGGCUUGAGUGUCGGAGGGGUACAUGGAAUUGAUGGUGUAGCGGUGAAAUGCAUAGAUACCAUCAGGAACACCGAUAGCGAAGGCAUUGUACUGGCCGACAACUGACGCUGAUGCACGAAAGUGUGGGGAUCGAACAGGAUUAGAUACCCUGGUAGUCC